AGGGCAGUAGCUCAGUGGUAGAGCUCCCGCUUCUUAUGCAGGAACACUUGGGUUCGAUUACCGGCUGCUUAC
RNAcentral lists this transfer RNA (72 nucleotides) under Toxocara canis (dog roundworm). It matches the Rfam family "tRNA". From Rfam's summary of the family: Transfer RNA (tRNA) molecules are approximately 80 nucleotides in length. The record is from Rfam by way of RNAcentral. Lineage: Eukaryota; Metazoa; Nematoda; Chromadorea; Rhabditida; Toxocaridae.